RNAcentral lists this ribosomal RNA (205 nucleotides) under uncultured bacterium. RNAcentral describes it as "partial 16S ribosomal RNA". It matches the Rfam family "Bacterial small subunit ribosomal RNA", at positions 1288 to 1500 of the family's 1533-position model. The record is from RNAcentral.
UCAGUUCGGAUUGUAGUCUGCAACUCGACUACAUGAAGCUGGAAUCGCUAGUAAUCGCGCAUCAGCCAUGGCGCGGUGAAUACGUUCCCGGGCCUUGUACACACCGCCCGUCAAGCCAUGGGAGCCGGGGGUGCUUGAAGUGCGUCGCCGCAAGGCGCGCCCUAGAGCAAAACCGGUGACUGGGGCUAAGUCGUAACAAGGUAUC